UUUUAUAUUACAUUUUUAUUUUGCAAGAAAAUAAAUUAUACAACUUAAAAAAUAAAAUUCAAAAAUUAAGCAGUACAUCAAAAUAGUUCAGCUGGACUGCCAUACAGAAACUACCACCAUUCAAAAUUGUACAGCAUUAUUAUCUUGGUAGUGGCACACAUUCAAAAUUGGAAAUACCAUACGUAGAUAGAUAUUACAACUCAGGAACUCAAGUUUGCUCAACACUCCAGACUACAUAUAGUGUAUAUGACAGGAGAGCUCUCGUGUAUUGUUUAUUUCACAAAUAUGACCUCAAAGAAUUACAAAGAUAGCAUCCCAGUCAUUUAGAUGAAAAUAGAAAACAGUUUGAGUUUAAGAUAGCAAAUCUUUCUGUAAAACUAUCAAAUCUUUUUUUGCCAAUUGUGUUUCUAAAAUUUGCACUUUACAGGACAAUGGCAUCCCAAUGCAACUAAAUGCAACAUGUGAACAUUCAGAACAUUUGGAAUCAGUUAAAAAGGUGAGAACGAGAAAGUCACAUUGUCUUUUGGAAAUGCAAUGGCAUUACAGUUGCAACAAAUGAAAGAUAGAUGGGUAAGAACAGAAGGUAGGGACACCGAGUGUGGAAAGAGGAAAAUGGAAGACUUCAGAAUUGAAACUGAGAUCCUCAUCAAGUUGUUGGGACAGAGAAAGAUUUAACAGUAUUUCUUAAUUAAACCCAUUAAGAGUGAUUUUUUUGCCCCUCUCUUCUACACCAGAUUUCAUUCCAUAGCUAUUCACCGUGGCAGUGUGCGUGGCAACAUGCUUUUCAGAUGCAGCACCUCUUUAAGCUAGGUCUUUGGACAUAUAUAUUCAUAGCUAAAAAUUGCAGCCUUAAAAGUGCGUUGUUGCCAUAUUGCAAGUGAAGAAUAGUUCAUUUUCAUUUAGAUCUGAACUUUACCCUCCCCAAAAGAACAGUUUACCCCAGGUAUCUCCCUGUGCCCCGGGUGAUACUAGUUUUAAGUGCAUAUUGGUGAAAGUGACCUGAUGAAUGACGCUAAACAUGAUUCUGCAUUUUGAACAAAUUUGCUGGUGUGAGUCUCAGAGUCAAUAAAAAACCCGACAUCCAUUUCUGGUAUAUAUUUAAAGAAAACCGACCACGUCAUAGGCACAUUACCAAUUCUACUUCUGCAUCCCAGGUGUUGAGAAAUGUAGAGAUAAGGUUGUAUUGGUUCAUACUUAUUAGUUGAGGGAACAUGCACCUCCUUAGCUUUCAGCAACCUGUUGCUUUCUGCACACACUCCAGCUCCCUCGACAGCUGUAUGAGAUGCAGCCUCUUACACAUCUCCCAAAUCUAAAUCAAUGGCUUCAAAAUUGGCAUCAUCCCCUUUGCAGCUCUUUCUGCAUGACAAUUUCACACCUCUUGUUCUCUGGCUAAGGGCUGGAAUUUUUACGUUGAAAAGAGUGUGCUCAGACUGUCCUGUCUUCCCUCAGUAAUCCCAAGUGAGCAUUUAUUACUUCUAAGUUACAAAGACUGAAAGUCUUGCAGCAGGGUCUUUUAUUAGAGCUUCCUAAUGUUCAAACAGUUUUUACUAGUUAACUACAGAGAGCACCACUUGCUUUCGAUUCUGAACUGCAACACCACAGCGCCAACAUGAAAAGAUGCAGUAUUUUUAAACAGCAUCUACUUUUGAGUAUCCGUAAAAGCAUGUAACAUAAGCUGUGGGAUUUCAAUCAGCUGGAAUUGGCCAGGUCUCAGUUUCUCUCCAUCUCUCAUUCUCUCAAACUUGCACUACCAAACCCCUCCUACUCAAAUAGAUGUCCAAGUACACACUGUUCUCGGGCAGUCACACUAGCAUUUACAUUAGUAGUAGAGCGUGCAGCCUAUUUAAGGGUGCAAACAGUCACCCCUGUGGAGUUUGCUUUUCCACCAUUCUUACUCUACACUUUAAUGCAACCAUGUGAAAGCAAAACUCCUUCUCUUACCGACUGGAAAGUUUUCCUUUUUGACUAAAGUUAACUGUAUCCUUUUCCCCCUUUCCAUCAAAGAAGAUGAGACCUUUAGGUAUUGUACUUUAACUGGUUAAUUAAGAAACAUUUUGCACACUUGUGAUUUAUAGAAGAAUAUUCAUACAGAACUGAGUAGAGCGCAACUUACCUUUCGUCCC
Long non-coding RNA from Strigops habroptila (Kakapo), 2123 nucleotides. The record is from Ensembl. Lineage: Eukaryota; Metazoa; Chordata; Aves; Psittaciformes; Psittacidae.